This 29-nucleotide non-coding RNA is filed under the name Mus musculus (house mouse). The record is from RNAcentral. Lineage: Eukaryota; Metazoa; Chordata; Mammalia; Rodentia; Muridae.
UACCUGCAGUGUUAAGGUUCAAGGCCAUU